GUCUAAGGCCGUGCCACCCUGACUACGCCCGAUCUCAUUUUAUCUCGGAAGCUAAGCAGGGUUGGACCUGGUUAGUACUUGGACAGGAGACCACCUAGGAAUAUCAGAUGCUGUAGGUG
This 119-nucleotide ribosomal RNA is filed under the name Pteropus alecto (black flying fox). Lineage: Eukaryota; Metazoa; Chordata; Mammalia; Chiroptera; Pteropodidae. The record is from RNAcentral.